UACGUAGGGGGCAAGCGUUGUCCGGAAUCAUUGGGCGUAAAGCGCGUGUAGGCGGCCCGGUAAGUCCGCUGUGAAAGUCGGGGGCUCAACCCUCGGAUGCCGGUGGAUACUGUCGGGCUAGAGUGCGGGAGAGGCGAGUGGAAUUCCUGGUGUAGCGGUGAAAUGCGCAGAUACCAGGAGGAACACCAAUUGCGAAGGCAGCUCGCUGGAACGUUACUGACGCUGAGACGCGAAAGCGUGGGGAGCAAACAGG
Molecule: ribosomal RNA, 253 nt
Filed under: uncultured bacterium
Lineage: Bacteria
Description: partial 16S ribosomal RNA
Rfam family: Bacterial small subunit ribosomal RNA
Source: RNAcentral